RNAcentral lists this ribosomal RNA (301 nucleotides) under uncultured bacterium. Its description in RNAcentral is "partial 16S ribosomal RNA". It matches the Rfam family "Bacterial small subunit ribosomal RNA", at positions 509 to 807 of the family's 1533-position model. The record is from RNAcentral.
CAGUCGCCGCGGGAAUACAGAGGAUGCAAGCGUUAUCCGGAAUGAUUGGGCGUAAAGCGUCUGUAGGUGGCUUUUCAAGUCCGCCGUCAAAUCCCAAGGCUCAACCCUGGACAGGCGGUGGAAACUACCAAGCUGGAGUACGGUAGGGGCAAAGGGAAUUUCCGGUGGAGCGGUGAAAUGCGUUGAGAUCGGAAAGAACACCAACGGCGAAUGCACUCUGCUGGGCUGACACUGACACUGAGAGACGAAGUCUAGGGGAGCAAAUGGGAUUAGAUACCCGCGUAGUCCCUGUCUCUUAUAC